UUCAAAAAUUGCAUUUUCCAUCUUUUGAUUGUUUUUCGAUGAUGUUCGUUAAAUCGGUAUAAGCGAACCAUUGUAAACAAUCAAAGAAUGGAGAAUCAAUUUAUGAU
MicroRNA precursor from Caenorhabditis elegans, 107 nucleotides. Lineage: Eukaryota; Metazoa; Nematoda; Chromadorea; Rhabditida; Rhabditidae. The record is from Ensembl.